Arachis ipaensis is the source of this 2295-nucleotide non-coding RNA. NCBI's taxonomy places the organism in Eukaryota, Viridiplantae, Streptophyta, Magnoliopsida, Fabales, Fabaceae. The record is from RefSeq and is a predicted model, not a curated record.
UUUCACUUACGCCAAAGGGCGCUUCUUCCCAAAGACAUAUGCAGCUAAUUUGGUUUGCUAAUUUGGUUUGCUCCAUGGUCAGCUCCAUUUCGGGAGUUGGCCUGAAUGCCAUCUCGUAAGCCUGUUUUCAUAGUUUCAGCAUUGUUUGGUCAUCAUAAAUCAAUCUACAUAACCAUGCAUGCAGUUAUUAACACCGGAUCAGGGACUAUAAUUUGAAACCCACCAUUGGAACACAGUUGCUGUUGUUUUCAAUGCGAUUGCGCCUAAUUGCGGGAACAGUUUCGGUUGCCUCAUGAGAUAGGGGACUCGUUUGACGUACAGCGUGAAAUGCAGAGGCCAUCAUUCGCUUCAGCGUCGACGGAGGAGUUGCAUCAGUGGCAGUAACCUCGAUUCGCUCCAGCUUCGGCAGCUUACAGGGCCCAGUAGGCUGGGGGCUUGAUGCAUACAAUCCGGCGACGCAGGUUGUUGACUCAAACUGUGUCCACACCGGCAGACCACGGAGGUCCUGUUGGGCACAACGACAGUGGUGAACAAAUCACCUUAAUGGAUUUAGGAGGAACAAAAAUACUCCAACCAUGGUGGCUUGGAGCAAGUCAUAUAAGUUGCGUACCUUGUCUUGGGUUGCUCCGACGGUCGUAGGUGCUUUGCUUGGGUUGGUCCCGAAGUGUCUUUGGGGUCCAGAUCCCCACUUCAGGAGGGUGUUUUGCGGUGGCACAAGCAACGUCGCACCGAUGGAGAUGUGUGGAGUUGAUCAAGACUCGUCGAUGAGUACGUCGUUGUCAUAUCCAGGCGAGUUGGGUACAAUGAGAUCAAACAGGCUACCUUCGGUAUCUGCCGCAACCACGGUUCCCUUGCCUUUCUCAGAUGGUGUUCUAAGGUGAGUAAAAAAUUUGCCCUCAUCGCCAAUAGGCUUCUUCGCUGGGCCCCUUUUGUCAGCAGGUGGAGCCAUAGGAGCGACCUUACUGUCGGAGGAGUGGAUGUCAUGCUUCCAUUCUUUGAGGCUGCUGCCGAGGGGCCUCGGAAUCAUCACAAUCUUAUGCUUAUCAUGAUUUUGCUAACUGAGUUGGAGCAUUUGGAGUAGCAUUCCCUCUGCAACAGACGACCGCUUGGCCAGAAUUUCUACCUUGGCUUCAACAACAGCAAGCCUCGCCUCGACUUUCUGCAAAAUACGAGUCACCGCCACCACGAGCCUAAUAAGUGCUUGAAAAAGAUAUUACAUUUUUCAAUUCGAAAAUGAACGGACCGCUUCGGCCAGGUCCUGUUAAUAAAGGAGAACAUGGUCUUCUGCAAGGCAGAUUAACCUUAACCAUCCAUAAAAACAUAACCAGUUCGACGUGAACAAUGACAACAUGGCGAAGGAAAACGAUAUAAGCACGUUUGUUUUACCCCUGCUCAAUGUUCUCAUCACCAUUGGAUAUACUACAUGGUGUAAUAUACCAUCAUGGGCAACCAAAGUUCCACUAUGCUUAACACAACUCCUUCACAAACGGAACGAAAAUAACUAGAGAUUACCUCAGCUAUCCCCAUGAGGCGUUGAAGUAACCCAUUUUUACCAUCAUCGUUGUCUUCUGCCUCCUGUUUCCGUGACAUCUCUUCCGGGAUGGGCUGCGUUCACAAGAGUAUAAAUUUUUCAACGACAACAUGAUUUACAGUGAACGAAACGUGGAUAACAUAUGCUUCCGCUACUCACCACAUCCAUUGUUAACUCCAGGUUCAUUGCACAGCUGCUGGGGUCGUUGCCAGGAGUGUCGACCGGUUGUUUGUUAUUACUUGGCUCAUCCCUGCGAACAGUGAAUACGAAAAAACUAUUAUUAGAGCUGACGUACAUAAACAACGCGGAAGAGGAACGAAGAGACUAUUCGAGACCCACCGUUUAUGGGGAUAGACAGCAGGCCAUUAAGGACAUUCCCAGCCUUUAGAUGCAUCCGAUGAUGAUUGGCUCAACAACUUUGAUCACCUCUCAGAUUGGCCAGAUGCCUUUUGCAUCCUUUCCCACCAAGAGUUGGUAGUACACUGCAGGUUCUGACACAGAGGUAGUUCUUCACCGCCUCGGGAACUUGUUAUCCUUGUGCACGUGUGUAUCACGAGCAUGUAUACCUUAAUUAGCAAUCAUCGGCAUCCCUUUUUUGUUCCUGCCUUCCAUAGGCACUAGAUCCCUCCAAGCCAGGAUUUGUUUUCUACUAUGAGUAAGGUGUUGCCCAUAUUUAAAAGAAUGUAAUCCUAUGGCACUCUUUUGAUACGAUUCAUGAGCACAUGCAUUGGGUAACAACGAUCAUGCACCGCUUGAAAUUUAUA